UCUGAUAGAUAAUACGAGCAUCGAUGGAAACCUACCCAAACAAAAAGCCCACCCACAAAGCUGAACCAUUUAAAAGAAGGAAAUGGCUGCAAAUGUCUACAUCUUCUCCCCAAUCCGGUCCAGUUCGUUCCGAUUCGACGUUCUUUUCCCGAGACCCGACUUACAACCAAUUUUCAACUCUCCCUGCUGCUCGCUUUCUGUUGCCCGUAGUAGUACUACUACUAGCUUUGGUUUGAGACUCAGUGCGACCAGACUACCGAACCGGGACCCGAAACCGCCUGCCGCCCUUAUGCUACCGGCAAACCCUGUCGCCUCCGAUAUCUUCGCUGCCGGCUUGUCCGGUUGCAUCGCGCUCUCCUUGCUCCGGUUAUGGGGGGAAACCGCCAACUUGCGGAUCUUCGACCAGAAAUUGAAUAGGAAGCUUGUGCAUAUAAGCGUGGGGCUAGUUUUCAUGCUUUGCUGGCCACUGUUCAGUCCUGGUCGUCGGGGAGCCAUCUUAGCAGCUCUUAUCCCAGGCAUCAAUAUCAUACAAAUGCUUCUCUUGGGACUUGGGAUCAUGAAAGAUGAGGCUAUUGUGAAGUCAAUGAGCAGAAACGGAGACUAUAGGGAACUUCUUAAGGGACCACUCUACUAUGCUGCAACAAUCACUUUGACUUGCAUGAUUUAUUGGAGAACUUCCCCUAUUACAAUUGCGGCAAUUUGUAACCUCUGUGCUGGGGAUGGUUUAGCAGACAUUAUUGGAAGGCGGUUCGGUAGUCAUAAAAUUCCAUACAACAAAAACAAGUCUGUAGCUGGUAGUGUUGCAAUGGCAUCUGCUGGGUUUUUAGCAUCUCUUGGGUAUAUGCACUAUUUCUCCUCAUUUGGAUUUCUUCAAGAAAGUUCGGGAAUGGUUAUGGGUUUUUUGGUUGUCUCUCUUGCCUCGGCACUGGUGGAAUCACUCCCUAUAAGUACUGAGCUUGAUGACAAUCUCACAGUUCCCUUGACUUCCAUCUUGGUGGGCACUCUUGUUUUCUAAUUUCAGGAGAUGGAGAGUGCAAAAUUGAACAGAGGAAAGAGGCUGGAGUAAUUGAAUCUAGAGGGAUGUUGAUCUAAACUCAAGAAGAAUUAUACUAGCAAACUUGGUCUAUUUAUUAGUUGAUGCGUCAAGUCUCUAUAUCCUCCAAUGAUGUGUUAAAACUCAAGUCUCUAGUCGAUUUCGCGCACUCCCCUUGCACCCCAUUACCUGGCAUGCCACUUGCAACAUAAAAAGGGGGCGUCUUAAUUUCAAGCAGGAGACGAAAUUAU
RNA transcript from Juglans microcarpa x Juglans regia, 1284 nucleotides. It is a transcript of the gene named probable phytol kinase 3, chloroplastic, with no coding region annotated. NCBI's taxonomy places the organism in Eukaryota, Viridiplantae, Streptophyta, Magnoliopsida, Fagales, Juglandaceae. The transcript is spliced from 8 exons. The record is from RefSeq and is a predicted model, not a curated record.